This 253-nucleotide ribosomal RNA is filed under the name uncultured bacterium. RNAcentral describes it as "partial 16S ribosomal RNA". It matches the Rfam family "Bacterial small subunit ribosomal RNA", at positions 524 to 776 of the family's 1533-position model. The record is from RNAcentral.
UACAGAGGGUGCGAGCGUUAAUCGGAAUUACUGGGCGUAAAGCGCACGUAGUCGGCUUUGCAAGUCGGGUGUGAAAUCCCCGGGCUCAACCUGGGAACUGCAUCCGAGACUGCAUUGCUAGAGUAUGGGAGAGGGAAGCGGAAUUUCUGGUGUAGCAGUGAAAUGCGUAGAUAUCGUAAGGAAGACCAGUGGCGAAGGCGGGUCUCUGGACAGUUCCUGACGCUGAGGCACGAAGGUCAGGGGAGCAAACGGG